AAAUUUAGGGUUUUGAAAAAAAAAAGAUGGAGAAACCUAAGAGAAAAGGCAACCGAAAAAGAAGAAAGCAAUUGAAACUUACGUCGUCCUUUCCUAAAGAUCUAACCUCAGAAAUACUCUUAAGGCUGAAAACUCCGUGCCAUUUGCCACUCUUUGUACAACUUUUCAGCCGAUACUUCUAUCUGGUAUAAAAUAUGCAAAAUAAGUCUACAAAGCCACAAUAUUUUUGUUCUAUUAUUUUAAGCAUAAUGGAAAAACUUAUUACAGUAAAACCUCUAUAAAUUAAUAUUCGAUAAAUUAAUAAUUUUUACGAUAGCAAGGCUCGAACCUUUGACCAACCACAUCUAUACUAACUACAUAACCAUUAGGCCAUUAACACUUAAUUAGUUUGAAUGAACAACACAUUAAUAUGUAUUGUUUCGUAUGUCGUAUUCAAUAAUAGAUAAACCAAAUUUGGGAAAAAUGUCAUAAAAAUCCCGAACUUUCAAAUUUGGGACGAUUUAAUCCCGAACUUUAAAGAAGUUAUUUUAAUCACAAAGUUUUGUUGACUUUUCCGUAAAAUAGCUAAGUUUUGUUGACUUAGCCGAUUUAAACACGACGUCUAGUUUCUCUUAAAAUUGCAAAGACAUGGUUAACUAUCCGUGAGUUGCUUCCAGUUUAGACCACAAAACGACGUUGUUUAACAAACUGAAGAAACUAAAUCUCAAAAUCGAUUCAUAAUUCACAAAUCUAACUCCCUAGCCCUAAAAAAAUCCACAACUUCUCUUUACUUUUUGUUGAAUUGUUGCCAUAGCGCGGAUCCAUAGAGGAAGAAAACGACUUCCAACGUCGUUUUGUCGUCUAAGAAACAUGGUCAUCUAGGCUAAACAGAAGCAGCCUAAUUUUAUUUGGUCGUCGUUUACCCAAAUCAAUUGUCUAAACAUAUUUUAUUAAAUCACAAGCCUAAUUUAAUUAAA
RNAcentral lists this long non-coding RNA (956 nucleotides) under Capsella grandiflora. RNAcentral's name for it is "long non-coding RNA (CGRA_LNC001720)". The record is from RNAcentral. Lineage: Eukaryota; Viridiplantae; Streptophyta; Magnoliopsida; Brassicales; Brassicaceae.